GCUGCUGAGUGCCUCCUGCUGUCACAGACUGGGAUGGAGUGGAGGGAAGGGGAUCAAGAAGCAGGGAUGGUGGGGGGGGUAGCCCCCCAACUGCAGCAAGCUGAGGGUCUGAGGCGGGAAGUUCCUUCUGCAGCCCCAUGCUCUGAGGGCUGAGCGCUUUGAGACCGUCACUAUUCGCCAUCCCGGAGAGGUAACUGGAGCACUCCCAUUGGUUUAGGCCACCAGCCAGAGACCUGCCCGGGCCUCCGGGGCAGCUGUCCCCUUUGCCACAGUGACUGGAGGAGCUGUUGGACCAGAUCAAGGCAGGCCCCGCCGCAGCAGGGGGUGUGGACCAGCCACCUGCGUCCGGGAGAUGGCCGAGUUCCUGGCCUUCCCUUUGUGGAAGCUGCCCUGGAUUUUCCAUAUCAAUAACGCAAGGAGAACAAGAACAGAAGUGGACCCAUCCUUAUGGAGCUUGGUCUAGCGACAUCAAACAGAUCAACAGCAUUGAGGGCUCUUGGAAAGCCCCCCAUCUAGUCCCGGCCUCUGGGAAGAGUGCGAUGCUCUUGCACAGUGCCUGGGGGGCACACAGGGGCCAGGCGCCAGGUGCUCCGAGCUGACCUGUACCUGAAGAAGAGGUGGCGCCGGAAGGCCCUUCCUCCUGUCGGAGCAGGACGCAGACAGCCCUGGAGGCCAAGGAACCACUGUGACUUCACCAGGGACUGGCACAGGGGGAGAAACGACCUCCACACCCGCCCCUCACUCAGCUCCCAGUCCUUCCUCCCCUCCCUCCUUCCCUUCCUUCUUUCCAUGUUCCCUCCCUCCCUCCCUUCCUUCCUUUCUCUCUUAUUGAGGUGAAAUUCACCUAACAAAACUAAAUAUUUUUAAAAUGUACAAUUCCAUGCAUUCACAAUGUUGUGCGACCAGUACCUCUACCCAGUUCUAAACAUUUUCA
Molecule: long non-coding RNA, 934 nt
Organism: Manis pentadactyla (Chinese pangolin)
Lineage: Eukaryota; Metazoa; Chordata; Mammalia; Pholidota; Manidae
Exons: 3
Source: RefSeq, a predicted model, not a curated record